GCUCUUAUGGUGUAAUGGUUAGCACUCUUGGACUCUGAAUCCAGCGAUCCGGGUUCAAAUCCCGGUAGGAGCU
Molecule: transfer RNA, 73 nt
Filed under: Phytophthora infestans T30-4
Lineage: Eukaryota; Oomycota; Peronosporomycetes; Peronosporales; Peronosporaceae
Description: tRNA-Gln for anticodon CUG
Rfam family: tRNA
About the family: Transfer RNA (tRNA) molecules are approximately 80 nucleotides in length. Their secondary structure includes four short double-helical elements and three loops (D, anti-codon, and T loops).
Source: Rfam by way of RNAcentral